RNAcentral lists this microRNA (22 nucleotides) under Tribolium castaneum (red flour beetle). RNAcentral describes it as "tca-miR-3851d-5p". Lineage: Eukaryota; Metazoa; Arthropoda; Insecta; Coleoptera; Tenebrionidae. The record is from miRBase by way of RNAcentral.
AGUGGACAUGGGGUGGUACUGU